RNAcentral lists this long non-coding RNA (1801 nucleotides) under Sus scrofa (pig). Its description in RNAcentral is "lncRNA (ENSSSCG00005040936.1)". The record is from RNAcentral. Lineage: Eukaryota; Metazoa; Chordata; Mammalia; Artiodactyla; Suidae.
AGCCACUACAAAGCAAUUUAUUUAAAAAGUCUCUUCCCAAAGUGAUCUGUCCAAAUAAAAGUGGGGGGGAGGUAAUUACUAGUUUUAGACUGAAAGAUGAAUUGCUCACUACUUCUUGAAAGAGUCACAAUAGACAAGAUGAGUUUUUGUUUUUUUUUUUUGUCUUUUUGCCAUUUCUUGGGCCGCUCCCUCGGCAUAUGGAGCAGCCCAAGAAAUGGCAAAAAGACAAAAAAAAGAAAAGAAAAAAAAAAAUCUAGCUCUGUGACAGAGAAAGACAACACAUGCACUUGACCCCAGAAGAUGAGGGGAAUUUUUAAACGCACAGUUGAUUCCUUGAAUCAGACUGGGCACCUAGCCUUUCAAGUUCAUGAAGUACUGGGCCACAGCUCUGACUCACAGAGAGGCUUUUCAAAGAGGUGAAAAAGCGGUGUUUUAUCAUUCAAAUUACUCUCUUCCCGUCAGGAUCCUAAAAGAGCUAUUUCUAUCAAAAUGAAAUGUCCUACUAACAAAAACACCACGUGGGAAGGCUGGAGCGGGUUCCGAAGCAGGCCUGGGGAGCGUGCAGCCCCGGGUUCCAGGUCUGGUAAGGGACUGCCGCUUCCUCGCCAAGGCCCUGGCUUCCUCACCGAUGAAGUGAAAGCAGUGUACCAGUGGGUUGGUCCUACAGCCCUUGGCUAAAUUUAGAGUCCUUGGGGCACCAUAAAAUCCCGUCUCCAGGGAGGCUUCUGGAACAAGCUUGCCUCUGCCUCGGUUUUGAGACAACUUUCCUCAUACCUGUGAUUUGGUUUCCCCAAAGUGGGCUGGAGAAAGGGUUGGGGAAGGGGCCAGGAAAAGGAGAGGAAAAAAACUUUAAGAAAGAAAGAAAGAAAGAAAGAAAGAAAUGACCUUAUCUAGAUACAGGGAGACUCAAUUUUCUCUCGUCAUCAGUUUUCUCCAGAAUUCCUUUCUCUGCGGCCCUUUAGCUCAGGCACCCGGAGCAAGCACACAGAGGCUAGAACCCACACGUGGUCAACUCCAAACUUUUUUUCCCCCCACAAACAAACUGCAAAUGACAGAAAUGGACCAUGGGAGAGGAGAAGCACCUGGAAAGGAAACACCACCCAAGACAUAUAUUAAAAACUGCGACGCAAGGACUGAAUUUAUAUCCUAACGCAAACACAACAAGUCGGGACAAUGCAAGAAACCUGAACACUGGCUGGAUGCUCGGCCGUAUUAAGGAGUUACUAAUGUUUAGGUUUGAUGAGGAUAUAUCAUGGUUAUGUGUCUUACAUGAAGCCUUAUCUCUAAGCCACAUAAACAAACAUUUUCCAACGAAUGUACACCAUGUCUGGGAUUUGCUUCAAAAAUCACAGGGGCAGGAUUAUAGGUGAAACAAGAUUGGCACUGAAUCUUGAAGUUGUGGGCGUGGGUACGGUACUGUUUGUUCUCUGUCUCUACUCUGUAUAUGUUUGAAAUUUUCCUAAUAGUUUAAAAGGAGAGACUUGCGGCUGCCUUCCUCUCCAAUUGACCUCGCUCUCAACUUACUGGGAGGGCAGGCAAGGAUGGCACCCGGACCCCAGGAGGCCGGCAGUCCCCCACCGGGAGUCCAGGGGGGCCUCUCCCCACUACUAAAACCCCCGCCCCUCCAAAGCCCCAGAAGGUGUCCGGCUUUUCCGCUUCCAUGGCCCCCCAAGUCCCCGAGAAGGGCGGAGGCGAAGCCCACUAGGUCGACGGGGAGACAGGGUGCGCAUCCUUGGUCGGCUCCCCCAAAGCUGGGGGCACCUGGCCGCUGGACCAACGUCAGACAAAGGCGUCAGCCGUG